RNAcentral lists this ribosomal RNA (616 nucleotides) under uncultured bacterium. RNAcentral's name for it is "bacterial SSU rRNA". It matches the Rfam family "Bacterial small subunit ribosomal RNA", at positions 338 to 954 of the family's 1533-position model. The record is from RNAcentral.
CCUACGGGAGCAGCAGUAAGGGAAUAUUGGUCAAUGGAGGCAACUCUGAACCAGCCAUGCCGCGUGCAGGAUGAAGGCCCUAUGGGUCGUAAACUGCUUUUACACAAGAGAAAACCCCGGUACGUGUACCGGGUUGAUAGUAUUGUGAGAAUAAGCAUCGGCUAACUUCGUGCCAGCAGCCGCGGUAAGACGAAGGAUGCAAGCGUUAUCCGGAUUCAUUGGGUUUAAAGGGUGCGUAGGCGGACUUGUAAGUCAGUGGUGAAAUCUCUUUGCUUAACAAGAAACUGCCAUUGAUACUGCAGGUCUAGAGUAUAGAUGACGUUGGCGGAAUAUGACAUGUAGUGGUGAAAUACUUAGAUAUGUCAUAGAACACCGAUUGCGAAGGCAGCUAACGAAACUAUAACUGACGCUGAGGCACGAAAGUGCGGGGAUCAAACAGGAUUAGACACCCUGGUAGUCCGCACCGUAAACGAUGAUUACUCGUUGUUGGCAAUAUGACCGUCAGCGACCAAGCGAAAGCGAUAAGUAAUCCACCUGGGGAGUACGCCGGCAACGGUGAAACGUCAAAGUGAAUUGACGGGCUGAGACGNGCGACGGACGACGACGAGGGAGGAGG